Molecule: long non-coding RNA, 2785 nt
Filed under: Homo sapiens (human)
Lineage: Eukaryota; Metazoa; Chordata; Mammalia; Primates; Hominidae
Description: HSALNT0020185
Source: RNAcentral
CGGCUGCUGUGAUGCUGGCAGCCACACACCUCUUUGGAAUAAGCACACAGCCUCCAAAGGGGCAUCUUUCAUUUGUGUGGAUUUGCUCUGAUGUGUUUGUUAAAAUCAGCCAACCACAUUCACUACUUUGCAGCCACUCCAUGUGUGUGUAUGCAUAGCCGUGGAGUGAGGAGACGGCAAGUGUUCCAGGGGCAGACGCCCAGGAGAAACCCAGAGAGAGGGGUGCAGAGACGCGGAGGAAGAAGCAGAGACAGGGAGAGAGUUAGCACAGCCAGCUCCGGGCCCAAACCCACCUGCCUUCUGGAUGUGGGCGAGCUCCUUGGUGACGGUGGCCGAGGUGCUGAGUCCACACAGGUUUUCUGAGAAGACCCGGAAGGAGUACGAGUUGCCGAUGAUGAGGUCUUCCACGCGCACAGUGAGCUCGUAGCGGCCAGAGUCGGAGCGCUGGGCCGAGCGAAUGAAGAGGAUGGAGUCCUGGUCCCCGGUGCGCAUGCUCACCCGCUGGCUGUCCAGGGCAUGGCCGUUGUGGGUCCAUGUGGCCUGAGGCUUAGGCUUCCCCUGGCAGGGAGGAGCCCCCAGGGAAGGGUGAAGCUCUCACUCCUGAGGUCUAGGGGCCCAAAUCCCUUAAGGGAGCAGGAGGUUUCAGGAGGUCAGCGCCUCCAUGGUGUGAACUGGUAAGCAUCCUGGGCACUCCCUUGGCGCCUCGACUCUGCCAGGAUGGGAUUUGUCCUGCAGCCCAGGCAUUCCCAAGCACCAGAUGGGCCCCAGCUGACUCUCUGUCUCCCCCUGCUGGGGAGCAGGUGCUGCACCUGUCAGGCUGCACUUCUAGGAAGGGGAGGCCACUGCCGUCUUCCUGCUCUAAUAUCCCCAGCUCUCCACAAGCCCAGGACUUUCAGAGAAGCCUUUGUGAAACCCUGUUUGUCCAUUCCUCUGUCUCCAGGCCCUAUUGAAAGGUUUAGGAUCUUUCUCUUCCCAAGUGAAGCCAGGGCGGGUAUCCCCCCUUCUUCCUCUGUCACCCUCCCAAAAUCUGUUAGUCUCAGAGCCGGGAAGUCCUUCUUGAAGUCCUAUUUCAGCUGCCUGCUAUGCUAAGGAAUGACAUUCUGACCCUCAUCUGGUCAGGGGCAACCACUGAAGCCCCUGGGCAUUCUAAGGGAAGCUGCAGUGGCCACCAUCCCUGUCCCCUGGGGUGGGUGCUGGGUCCAUGACUGAGGCUCCUCAGCAGCAAACAGGUGGCAGCAGUUGGUUGGUGGCAUGCAGGGCGGAGGAGGACAAGACAGUGAGAAGGAACACGGUGUCUCUGAGGAUUAGCUGAGUGGGCACUUGGCUCUGGGAGCUCAGGCAUGGAAUGCUCUAGGGACAGCUGCAGGGGGUCAAGAAUGCUUGGCAGCUCCAGGUGGCCAAGGAGAGACAGCUGAGCAGCCAAGGAUCCUGGACAGGGCCCCCACUCUGCCCUGUGAUAAGCCUGGCUGUUCCCCACUUGUUCACAGCCUCCUCUCCCUCUUCUCUCCAGGAAAUCCCCUUCUCUCCUGCCAGAGGAAUUUGAAUGGAGAAGUGGGUGCUGAGUCUGGCUGGGUCCAUCAAUGCUGGGCCUCAGGGGCCUCUCAGAGUCUGAGCUCCCUGGUUCCCUGGGGAAGGCCCAGCACCGUCCCAACCAAGAAGCCUUCCUGGCACCUCCAGGACUAGGGUCGACACAGCCAUAAUGCAGCUGCCUGGUGGGGCCACAUCUCACCUAGAGCCAAAGGCUGGGAAUUAGGGUUGGGAGGCUUGGGUUUUGGGUGCCACCAGAGAAGAUGCUCUGCAGUGCAGUGGGACAUGAGUGGUCCUGUGUAGGCAUCAGACUCUGGGACUGCCAAUAAAAGGCUGGGUGACCUCAAGGGAUGCCCUGGGCUCCUUGGGAUCUCCUUGGGCCUUGAUAAUCUAUGAAUCUAAGCUCCCUAACCCCAUGGUUCCCAUGUCUCUCAGGCCUCAGAGCUGAGCAUUUCCUUUCGAAUCCAGACUUGACCCCUCCUGUGGAUCCCCUCUCCUUCUGGAGGCCUUGUCUAGAGCUACCAGAAAUCAUCCAUCCCCUAGUGGAGGAGCAAGAAGGAAGGUGGAGAAGGCUUCAGGCCACCUGCCUGCCUGUGUCUCUCCUCACCCUGGGGGACUGUGCUGUCCCCAGAGACCUCAGAUCAGACCAAAUGACUCACUGUCAUUAACAGACUGAAACCCGAUCAGCUCCGGGAGGGGAGCGAGGGGAGGAUUGAGGCUAAUGCACCUUGCAAAUAGAAAUAUUAGCAAUGGGGAUGGCAGCUGGCCUGCGGGGCCCCAGUGAGGUAUGCCCUCUGCAAUGGAGAAGUCUUCAUGGGCCUUUUGCAGACCUUCUUUUUCUUUCCACUAGGGCCAUGGUGGAACAAGGGGCAAGCAGCGCCUUCUCUCUGUUUCAAGACCUUUGAGAGAAUCUGGAACCCAGGCCACAGGAAAUGGGCAGAAAAUGAGCAUUUAUGGCCACUGGAGAGAUUGAGAUUAGAUGGGAGAUAGAACAGAUGGACUCUUAGCAUUGAGCAGGUGACCCAGGGAACUUGACCUUUUGUUUCUGAGCCCCUUUCUCAAGGCGUGGGGGCUGGACCACUCAGGGAAAUGGCUUCUUAGACCUCCAGAGGCCCCUUACUGCUGAGGAACCUGGAACUUUCUUAAGGCAAGAUGGUGAUAGCGUGUGGCUUGUGCAUGUGAGCGUGGGACGGGGGAAAUGACUGCCUGGUUCCCUCUACCUGCUGGCCUCAGUUUCUCCAUUAGAUAAGGUGUUUGG